RNAcentral lists this ribosomal RNA (484 nucleotides) under uncultured bacterium. RNAcentral's name for it is "partial 16S ribosomal RNA". It matches the Rfam family "Bacterial small subunit ribosomal RNA", at positions 30 to 507 of the family's 1533-position model. The record is from RNAcentral.
AUUGAACGCUGGCGGCAGGCCUAACACAUGCAAGUCGAGCGGAUGAAGGGAGCUUGCUCCUGGAUUCAGCGGCGGACGGGUGAGUAAUGCCUAGGAAUCUGCCUGGUAGUGGGGGAUAACGUCCGGAAACGGGCGCUAAUACCGCAUACGUCCUGAGGGCGAAAGGGGGGGAUCUUCGGACCUCACGCUAUCAGAUGAGCCUAGGUCGGAUUAGCUAGUUGGUGGGGUAAAGGCCUACCAAGGCGACGAUCCGUAACUGGUCUGAGAGGAUGAUCAGUCACACUGGAACUGAGACACGGUCCAGACUCCUACGGGAGGCAGCAGUGGGGAAUAUUGGACAAUGGGCGAAAGCCUGAUCCAGCCAUGCCGCGUGUGUGAAGGAGGUCUUCGGAUUGUAAAGCACUUUAAGUUGGGAGGAAGGGCAGUAAGUUAAUACCUUGCUGUUUUGACGUUACCAACAGAAUAAGCACCGGCUAACUUCGUG